GUUUCGCAGAAAAAUUAUUUAAACACACAAAAGUGUUAAAAAAGACUUAACACGCCAGAAAUAAACAGCCUUAACUAACAUCUACCAGACAUAGGCAAAGAACGCCAUCGUGGAGCGCGCAGCAAAUACUGGGUGCUCCAGAUGUGUACCCUAGAUACGCAGAUGACAAAAGGGCAUGGGCCCCAGAUGUCAAAGACGCAAACCAGUUCUUGGAGUUCACGUUCACCACUUCCGUCUACGUGACAAAACUCGACGUCUACGAGACUUUCAAUGCUGGCGGUGUCAAGGCCAUUAGAUGCUUCGAUGUCUCAGAAGAGUGGAUAACGCUAUGGAUGACGGACUAUGUAUCCUUUUUUGAGUAUCCGAGGAUAUUCAGUCCAUCGUUUACGGUAAAAAAAACUAACAUAUAAUUUAGGUUUCGUAAGUUCAAACUUCUUAACCGGUUUAAACUCGCAAUUAUUUUCAUGGACAAUUCGAAGGCCCUUGACCCUAGACAUAACCAUGCUAAUGUGCUCCUCUGUACUGUUUGUAUUUUCUUGUAUAUUACAUACGGGUAAUUGAUAAUUUGCAUUAAAUCAAAUACUAGCUUCCACUAAUUCCUCUUUUAGUAGUGGAACAUGAGUUUCAUUUUUCUGUUAUACUUCUUAAUGGUCGUGUAGAAAAUUUGGAGACUUCAUUACUGAUAUUUGAAAUAUCGGAGGGGACGCAUUCAUGUAUAUUGCAACUAACACAAGAACAGUACGAACUUUUAAAGCGUGGUAUUGACAUGAAUAGGCCUGAAAAGUACGUGACGUCCUUGUGAGGACGCCACGUGGAAGACAUUCGCGUGUAACGGACGCUGGUUUCAUUAUACUACAUAAUCGAGUCAUCAAGGUUAUAUUUUCUAAACAAAUCAUCAUAUUAAACUUGAAGGCAUGUUUUACACUUAGACUGUUGUUCCUGGUUAUAUCUUUUAGAGAUAUUGAUGGGUCUUAACUUAUUCAUCCCCGAAAUAUUAUAAAGUAAGAGACUAAAGUACGACUGAAAAAAUUACUCUCCAAUA
Molecule: long non-coding RNA, 1042 nt
Organism: Dreissena polymorpha
Lineage: Eukaryota; Metazoa; Mollusca; Bivalvia; Myida; Dreissenidae
Exons: 3
Source: RefSeq, a predicted model, not a curated record